This 77-nucleotide transfer RNA is filed under the name Variovorax paradoxus. Its description in RNAcentral is "tRNA-Ile". It matches the Rfam family "tRNA". Rfam says of the family: Transfer RNA (tRNA) molecules are approximately 80 nucleotides in length. Lineage: Bacteria; Pseudomonadati; Pseudomonadota; Betaproteobacteria; Burkholderiales; Comamonadaceae. The record is from RNAcentral. RNAcentral also lists the same sequence under 15 other names.
GGGCCGUUAGCUCAGCUGGUUAGAGCAGCGGACUCAUAAUCCGUUGGUCGAUGGUUCAAGCCCAUCACGGCCUACCA